Molecule: ribosomal RNA, 497 nt
Filed under: uncultured bacterium
Lineage: Bacteria
Description: partial 16S ribosomal RNA
Rfam family: Bacterial small subunit ribosomal RNA
Source: RNAcentral
GAUGAACGCUGGCGGCGUGCCUAAUACAUGCCAGUCGAGCGAACAGACGAGGAGCUUGCUCCUUUGACGUUAGCGGCGGACGGGUGAGUAACACGUGGAUAACCUACCUAUAAGACUGGGAUAACUUCGGGAAACCGGAGCUAAUACCGGAUAAUAUAUUGAACCGCAGGGUUCAAUAGUGAAAGACGGUUUUGCUGUCACUUAUAGAUGGUUCCGCGCCGCAUUAGCUAGUUGGUAAGGUAACGGCUUACCAAGGCAACGAUGCGUAGCCGACCUGAGAGGGUGAUCGGCCACACUGGAACUGAGACACGGUCCAGACUCCUACGGGAGGCAGCAGUAGGGAAUCUUCCGCAAUGGGCGAAAGCCUGACGGAGCAACGCCGCGUGAGUGAUGAAGGUCUUCGGAUCGUAAAACUCUGUUAUUGGGGAAGAACAGAUGUGUAAGUAACUAUGCACGUCUUGACGGUACCUAAUCAGAAAGCAACGGCUAACUACGUG